AUUUGGGAUAACACUUCGAAAGGGGUGCUAAUACCGGAUAACAUCAUGAACUCUUAGGGGUUUAUGAUCAAAGAAGGCCUCUCCAUGGAAGCUUUUGUUUGAGGAUGAGCCCGCGUACCAUUAGCUAGUUGGUGGGGUAAUGGCCUACCAAGGCAACGAUGGUUAGCUGGUCUGAGAGGAUGAUCAGCCACACUGGAACUGACACACGGUCCAGACUCCUACGGGAGGCAGCAGUGAGGAAUUUUGCGCAAUGGGGGAAACCCUGACGCAGCAACGCCGCGUGAGUGAUGAAGGCCUUCGGGUCGUAAAAACUCUGUCGAGUGGGAAGAACCUACGUAAGGAUAAUACCCUUAUGUACUGACGGUACCACUGAAGGAAGCACCGGCUAACUCCGCGCCAGCAGCCGCGGUAAUACGGGGGGUGCAAGCGUUAUUCGGAAUUAUUGGGCGUAAAGGGCGCGCAGGCGGCCCUAUCAGUCAGAUGUGAAAGCCCUGGGCUUAACCCAGGAAGUGCAUUUGAUACUGUAGGGCUUGAGUAUGGGAGAGGGAAGUGGAAUUCCUGGUGUAGAGGUGAAAUUCGUAGAUAUCAGGAGGAACACCGGUGGCGAAGGCGACUUCCUGGACCAAUACUGACGCUGAGGCGCGAAGGCGUGGGGAGCAAACAGGAUUAGAUACCCUGGUAGUCCACGCAGUAAACGGUGAUCACUAGGUGUAGCGGGUAUUGACCCCUGCUGUGCCGCAGUUAACGCAUUAAGUGAUCCGCCUGGGGAGUACGAUCGCAAGAUUAAAACUCAAAGGAAUUGACGGGGGCCCGCACAAGCGGUGGAGCAUGUGGUUUAAUUCGACGCAACGCGAAGAACCUUACCUGGAUUUGACAUCUCGGGAAUCCCUUGGAAACUUGGGAGUGCCCUUCGGGGGACCUGAAGACAGGUGCUGCAUGGCUGUCGUCAGCUCGUGUCGUGAGAUGUUGGGUUAAGUCCCGCAACGAGCGCAACCCUUAUCUUUAGUUACCAGCAUUUCGGAUGGGGACUCUAGAGAUACUGCCCCGGUUAACGGGGAGGAAGGUGGGGAUGACGUCAAGUCCUCAUGGCCUUUAUAUCCAGGGCUACACACGUGCUACAAUGGGCGGUACAAAGAGUCGCGAGCCUGCGAAGGUUAGCUAAUCUCAUAAAGCCGUCCUAAGUUCGGAUUGGAGUCUGCAACUCGACUCCAUGAAGCUGGAAUCGCUAGUAAUCGUGGAUCAGCAUGCCACGGUGAAUACGUUCCCGGGCCUUGUACACACCGCCCGUCACACCAUGAGAGUUGAUUGUACCGGAAGUUGUCGGGCCAACCUUUCGAGGAGGCAGGCACCUAUGGUAUGAUUGAUGAUUGGGGUGAAGUCGUAACAAGGUA
RNAcentral lists this ribosomal RNA (1391 nucleotides) under metagenome. Its description in RNAcentral is "bacterial SSU rRNA". It matches the Rfam family "Bacterial small subunit ribosomal RNA", at positions 136 to 1498 of the family's 1533-position model. The record is from RNAcentral.